UACGUAGGGGGCUAGCGUUGUCCGGAAUCAUUGGGCGUAAAGAGCGUGUAGGCGGUCCGGUAAGUCCGCUGUGAAAGUCGGGGGCUCAACCCUCGAAUGCCGGUGGAUACUGUCGGGCUAGAGUGCGGAAGAGGCGAGUGGAAUUCCUGGUGUAGCGGUGAAAUGCGCAGAUAUCAGGAGGAACACCGGUGGCGAAGGCGGGUCUCUGGGCCGAUAUCGACGCUGGAGGAGCGAAAGCGUGGGGAGCGAACAGG
Molecule: ribosomal RNA, 254 nt
Filed under: uncultured bacterium
Lineage: Bacteria
Description: partial 16S ribosomal RNA
Rfam family: Bacterial small subunit ribosomal RNA
Source: RNAcentral